AAAUAUUCGGUAGAUAUCCACAGUGAUAGACUCUUCCCCCAUAAACAAACAUUAUGGUCCAACUUCAGUGAUUAAACUCAGCAAACGUCAGUUUCCCAAUCUUAUUUUGUAAUCUUCUAAUGUUUCAUGAAGACACCAGGAUUAAGAGCCUCCAAGAAUUUUUAUAUCACUUGGACAAUAGAUACCACAGAAAUGUUCUGCCUACAAAGCACAUACGAAUUCCCAGCAGCAUUGUGUGCGGCGCACAUUAUUUAACACCGCGUGUAAACCCCCCGGCAGGCGCAUCUAGGCGCAGCGCGCUGCUUUGCAUUUGCAAUUAUUACCCAACCUUUGCAUCCCUUGCGCUGAUACCGGCCCCAUUCCCAGCUGCGGAGCCACAUCUGGCCGACUGACGAUGCCAACAAGUUGGGGCGAGGCAGGGCCGGGCAGGACAGGGUAGGAUGCGGGCGGGAUGCUGGACCAGCCGCGGCGGGCGCGGAGCGGGCGCNCCCGGCGCUCUCCCUCACCCGGUCCCAGCCUGCGCUAGGGGACGUUCUGCUCGGGCGUUCUCCGCAGGAAGAGCUGUUAGACAUUGGAACGGGCUGCCCAGGGCAGUGCUGGAGUCACCGUCCCUGGAGGUGUUUAAGGAAAGACCACCGAGUGCUGGUGUGGUUGUCACAGUGGUGUCCGCUCAUAGACUGGACUCGAUGAUCUCGGAGUCUCUUGAUUCUGCGAUUCUGAGCACUGACCUGCGCCCAGGAAUGUCCUGUGUUUUCAUUAAGCUGUGAAAGAUUUUGUGCUGCACUGGUGAUACUGGAAAUCACUCUGGAAGUUAUGAUGCAGACAGCAAAUUCUUGGUGCCUGGGGCUGUGUAAGUCCUUAAGCUGGUAAUGUACAUUAGAAGGAAUUUUAGAUCUAUAGAGCCAACUCUUUCAUGAGAGGAUCUAAGAACAGGCUUAAAGGGCUUCUUACUGUGAUACACAGAGCAUGUUAAGUAAUAUUUUACUCUUUCAUUUGCAAAGAUGGAGUUUUAGGAAGUGGCAUAGUUAAGCCAGAAAUAAACACAAAUAUUGUUAAAAUUCUUCA
RNAcentral lists this long non-coding RNA (1065 nucleotides) under Cyanistes caeruleus (blue tit). RNAcentral's name for it is "lncRNA (ENSCCEG00000008676.1)". The record is from RNAcentral. Lineage: Eukaryota; Metazoa; Chordata; Aves; Passeriformes; Paridae.